This 349-nucleotide ribosomal RNA is filed under the name uncultured bacterium. RNAcentral describes it as "bacterial SSU rRNA". It matches the Rfam family "Bacterial small subunit ribosomal RNA", at positions 8 to 350 of the family's 1533-position model. The record is from RNAcentral.
AGAGUUUGAUCCUGGCUCAGGAUGAACGCUAGCUACAGGCUUAACACAUGCAAGUCGAGGGGCAGCAUGUUGGUUGCUUGCAACCAAUGAUGGCGACCGGCGCACGGGUGAGUAACGCGUAUCCAACCUACCCUUGUCCAUCGGAUAACCCGUCGAAAGGCGGCCUAACACGAUAGUGCGGUUCACAGCAGGCAUCUAAGGUGAACGAAAUGUGAAGGAGAAGGAUGGGGAUGCGUCUGAUUAGCUUGUUGGCGGGGUAACGGCCACCAAGGCGACGAUCAGUAGGGGUUCUGAGAGGAAGGUCCCCCANAUUGGAACUGAGACACGGUCCAAACUCCUACGGGAGGCA